GGCAAGGGGAUGCAAAACUUCGGAAAUAUUGAAGGCUUUAUUUUGUAUUUUUUUCUCUCCCCCUUUCUGUUCGCCCCCUAAACAGCGAUAACUUCUCUCUGACCCCAAAGUGACACCGUUUCUAUGUUGUUUCUGAUUAAUCUUGCCCAUUGACAGUCUUUGUUAAACAACAAGGCGUGCCCUUCCCCAACGAGGCGACAUUUUCAUAUUUGUUAGACGCAGUGACCUGAAGCUCACCCCGGACUUGGACUUCGGUUUUCCAGGGUCUACUCGACUCUGGGUAGAUUACGGAGCACUUAGCACCAGUCAGCACCUAACAGCGCCCCAAAAAUAUAUUUUUUAAAACCAGUACAAAACCCACGAUAAAGCGUAGGUCCAUCUGAAAAAGCCUUGCGUCGACUGUGCCACUCCUGUAGGUAAUGUUAGCCAACUAAACUGAAGUUUCGGUGUCUCCUGGUCAAUGUUUUCUUUAGAAUAGUAUAAAUAUGUAUAUGUGUUGAAUUUGUUUCACAUUGUUAGGCUUCUGUUAAUGUUUCUCACCUAGGCUCAUGUUUUUCCUGUUCAAACAAGGUCCUCCUCGGAGCUUUGUAUGUGUAAGCCAUCGCUAUGGGAUUUUCAUUUUAGUCAGAUAUAGGCCUAUAUGGCCUUUUAAGCAUCUAAAUAGCCAAAGUUGUUAGGUGUUAUAUUACAAUUGAGUGUAUUUUACACCUGUAACUCAUCGUGAAUGACAAGGGGAAUCUUUUUUGUUGUUGAGGAUCUGGCCUCCAGAACGCAUGUAACCAAGACCACCUGAGGGUCUAUCUAUCAGCAUAAUGUCCACGAUCCCUUGUCUGUUAGGAGGACCAGGCUGCAGAGGACAAUGUUCCCUCAGUAUUCACGAGGCGGUUAAGAAGGAGAGAAAGACUACAUAUUUUAAAGGAGUCCGGGGGCUCCAUUUGGGGGGCUGUGGGCAUAGUCUACCCAUCAUCCUGUGACCGGGCAGCUGGCUGCAGGUGACACUGAACUUGGCCUAAAGCGAGCUCUGCUGGUGGCUGGAGGAUGCAGAUUUAUCUUGCUGCUAUGGCUGACCUCGCGGUGAACCGCGCACGGGGGAUGGUUAAUUUUUUUCUGCCUGGCAUUGUCUGCCUAGGACCCCGAUUUAAGAUGAUUUUAUGUGUAACAACGGUGUAAUUUUCGCCCCAGACUUCACAAUGAUAUUGGCAUAGAAUAACGGUUUCUCUUUCAUGUUCUACACCAUACAACUGUAAUGGAAAUGAAGUCCAAUUUCAUUGCAUUGGCUAUUUGUUUACAAGACGGAAUCUUCUAUGUCGACUGUUAGGGGAAGGGGGAGCGGGGAUCAACCCACCUCAAAUCAUCAGAUGAUUCAGAGUUUCAAUUCCAUCUACGUACUGACAUAUUAUACUUUGAGGGUUUAGUUUCUAUAUAAACACUUUUCAUUGCA
This is a long non-coding RNA of Oncorhynchus tshawytscha (Chinook salmon), 1441 nucleotides long. NCBI's taxonomy places the organism in Eukaryota, Metazoa, Chordata, Actinopteri, Salmoniformes, Salmonidae. The record is from Ensembl.